ACGGAGACAAUCGUCGCCGUCAGCGGCUGCGCAGGAACGCGCAGCGGUGUUUGCCGCCUGCUGUUGUCAUGGAGACGACAAAAGCAGAGAGACAUCUGCUGCUCUUGGUGUUUGGUGAUGAGGAGCGCCCCGCCCAGCCGGUACAGUUUGCUGCUGAUGAAGGGAACGCCGCAGACCAGCAGCAGGCCUCCGGUCAGAGCGGAGAGCAGCCCGACUACGAUUAGGACGGUCCAGAACCCUCGGAACACUGCGGGGAACACAAACGCAAGGACUUUAAAAACGAGCUUCGUCUCUUAAAGAUUUACUCUGCUUGUCUCGCGUUAGAUUAUCAAACAGACUCUAGAUUUGGAUUUAAUUUGUAAAAGAAAGAAAGAAAAAGCUAUUUGGGCUGAAACGAUUAAUCGGAUUAAUCGGCACAAAUCAAUUCUUGAAAUAAUCACCCGCCUCGAAUUUUGUUAAAGUUCUGAAAGAAGUAAGCACCUUUUGCUGUCCAAUUAUUAGUUGGCUAAUCAAAAUAAUAAUAAUCCAAUAGAUCAGCUCUACCUUGUAUUGAUUUUAAGUCAAGCAGAAAUGGCUGAGCUUUUCACAUGUGGAUGUUAAAAGUGUUUUUUUUUCUUUAGGUGCAGAUGUAUCCUUUGCUACAAAUGAUCAAGCAUUCACUAAAGGAAUGCCAAGUUAUUGCAUGUUAAGUAAUUUUUUUCUUGUUUAAGAAUGAAUUGAAUUAUUGGUGUAUGUGCAUCUUUUAAUGUAUUUAGGAUCAUCUGGUAUAGCAAAACAUCUUGAGAAUGUGCCAGUUUUGAUCAGAUUAAUUACAAAAUAUCAGAUAAAUCAUCAAAAAUAAUCGAUAGAAUAAUCACUUACUAGAAACAAUUGUUAGUUGCAGCCCUAAAAGCUAACCUGCUUCUAUUGCUGAAAAAUCAUGAAGUGUGAGAAAGUUCUCUUUUUUUUGUUCAAUUGCACUUGCCACACCCAGACAGCUAUUGAUACAAUUUAAAAAUAUUUUAAAAAUGACUAGACACACCUUUAAUAAAUCCUAUCAGGGAGAGUUGUUGCCAAAAUGUGGAAAUGUUCAACAGAUGAUUGUAAGAAUGUUAGGAUUGUGUAGCUAAAGUUCAAUGUUAGUAAUUACUUCAAAUUCACUUAUUGCACUACAACCCUGUUUAGGUGUCCAUGCUUUAUGUUUUAUUAUUCUGUACAUCUGUAUGGUAAACUUAUUGUCAGUAAAUUAGUUUUCAUAGAGUUAAGAAUAAAUCAUACAUUCUCUAUAA
Molecule: long non-coding RNA, 1268 nt
Organism: Xiphophorus hellerii (green swordtail)
Lineage: Eukaryota; Metazoa; Chordata; Actinopteri; Cyprinodontiformes; Poeciliidae
Exons: 2
Source: RefSeq, a predicted model, not a curated record